AUUACGUUCCUUUUAAUAGCUCCUUCCCAAGUGCUCAGUCAGGGACAUCUGCUCUGCCGCGGUUGCACCUUCAGGGAGGAAUAUUUUUAACACCGUGAUGCCACAAAAGGAAACUUCUGAAGGCUGGAUGAAAAUGGCCUCUGUGUUUGGAGUGCCUCAGGGCCCAGAUUUCAAGGUCCUGGAGGCCAGACCUUGUCUUAUAUUUCUCAGAAGUACUCACAGAACCUAACCUAACCCAGUUGGGAAAUUACACAUGAAUCCUUGUCUUAUUGCCAGCAUCCUUGCAGGAAGGCCUCAGGAGGAAAGGCUUCCUAGACAAGUGAAUGUCCAUGGGGAAUUCCCUGAGUCUCUACCUUCCCAGCAGUGCCCUGACACCUUUACUGCCAAAGCUGGCUUCGCUCAUCCUGGCCGAAGGGACUAAGGAGGGAGAUCUCGAAGUUUCCAAGCACACAUGGCUCUGAGCUUUCCUGACCGGAGCCCUACCACUCCCUCCUCCCUGACUGCACCGCUUGGUGGCCAAGUAACUCUUACGGAUUAAGGCCCAGAAGGUCAACCCUUCUCUUCUCCUGGCAUGGUGACUUCCUCUGGCCAGGAGACCGGAUGUGCUCCUGCUAAUAAUGGUCUGGAAGUGCUCUCCCUUGCUGGCCCAGACUCCCAGGAAGUCUUGAGAGAGGCAAUCAUCUGGAGAAGUUGGGAAACACUGAGCAGGCCUAUGCGUGAGCUAGUCCAGAUGACAGUCAACAAGUUGUGCUGAGGAUUCUCUAAGUGGGCUGUUAUAGCCCAGACCCCAGGACACAAGCUGAGAAAAGGAACAAAGGAAGCAAGCACUGAGUCCCCUGUGAUGUGUCUCCUUAAAAAUUGAUCAUCCAGGCCUAUUUGCCAGGUGGGAGUGAGGCUUUGCCUGCUGCUGGAUACAGAGUUUACUGAAGGGCCAGCUUUGUCCCCAGACUUACAUCCAGUAUUUGAAUGUCAGCCAACUCUGAGAGUGACUUGGACUGUUCCUAUCUCUGAGCUUUCAACUGUUACAGAGAACAGGAUUGGCUAUGUAACUUGUGGGGCCUAGUGCAAAAUGAAACUGUGGGGUUCCUUGUUUGAAAGUAUUGAGAAUUUCAAGAUGGUGAUAAGAAAGCAUUAAACCCAGCAUAUAUAGUAUCCAUCUAUGCACUAGGAUGUGUGUGACUGUAUGACUGCCCCUGUGAAGCCGGCCUUGCAAAUGGGUUACUUGAGAAAAGUGUGAGUGGGCUUUAGCCAGGAGGAUCUGUACCAGCAACUCCUCUCGUUAACCUACUAAUCUCGGGUCUUGAAGGCAGGGACUUUAUAUUCCUUGGGUGUCCUCCCUGGGACCCAGAGGUGCUCACCACUGACUAGGUGAGAGUUGGCCAUGGGGUAGAGACUGCCUUCCUGUGUGUAGUGUGGAUCUAGAAUGAGGGAGGCUUCAGGACCUGGAGCCUAGGUUGGAGGUUACAAGGCCGAGAAACCUCAAGGUGGCUGUUAGUCCCAGUGCCUUUCAAUUUAAAUUAAGGCAGUUUAACUUAUAUUCUAAAGGGGCUCCCUCACUACCAAGAAAGAGGGAGCUCAUUACCCCCUUAGUAAGAGUCUACAAAAUCUUUGGCAAAUGAGCCAUCAGAGGAGGUGGUUCAGAGCCAAUAUAGAAAUUUUAAAAGUACUUGA
Canis lupus familiaris (dog) is the source of this 1671-nucleotide long non-coding RNA. RefSeq lists it as uncharacterized. The transcript has 3 exons. NCBI's taxonomy places the organism in Eukaryota, Metazoa, Chordata, Mammalia, Carnivora, Canidae. The record is from RefSeq and is a predicted model, not a curated record.